This 301-nucleotide ribosomal RNA is filed under the name uncultured bacterium. RNAcentral's name for it is "partial 16S ribosomal RNA". It matches the Rfam family "Bacterial small subunit ribosomal RNA", at positions 509 to 807 of the family's 1533-position model. The record is from RNAcentral.
CAGCAGCCGCGGGAAUACGUAGGGUGCAAGCGUUGUCCGGAAUUAUUGGGCGUAAAGAGCUCGUAGGCGGUUUGUCGCGUCUGCUGUGAAAUCCCGAGGCUCAACCUCGGGCUUGCAGUGGGUACGGGCAGACUAGAGUGCGGUAGGGGAGAUUGGAAUUCCUGGUGUAGCGGUGGAAUGCGCAGAUAUCAGGAGGAACACCGAUGGCGAAGGCAGAUCUCUGGGCCGUAACUGACGCUGAGGAGCGAAAGCGUGGGGAGCGAACAGGAUUAGAUACCCGUGUAGUCCCUGUCUCUUAUAC